CAGUAGCCGCGGUAAUACGUAGGUGGCAAGCGUUGUCCGGAAUUAUUGGGCGUAAAGGGCUCGCAGGCGGUUUCUUAAGUCUGAUGUGAAAGCCCACGGCUCAACCGGGGAGGGUCAUUGGAAACUGGGAAACUUGAGUGCAGAAGAGGAGAGUGGAAUUCCACGUGUAGCGGUGAAAUGCGUAGAGAUGUGGAGGAACACCAGUGGCGAAGGCGACUCUCUGGUCUGUAACUGACGCUGAGGAGCGAAAGCGUGGGGAGCGAACAGGAUUAGAUACCCGCGUAGUCCCUGUCUCUUAUAA
RNAcentral lists this ribosomal RNA (301 nucleotides) under uncultured bacterium. Its description in RNAcentral is "partial 16S ribosomal RNA". It matches the Rfam family "Bacterial small subunit ribosomal RNA", at positions 509 to 809 of the family's 1533-position model. The record is from RNAcentral.